AUUAAUAUGUACAAUUUUUAUAAAAAUGUGAAGCCUUUUUUUGAUUUGAACAUUUUCUCACUCGUCUUAAUGACUUUUGUUGGCUUUCUUGUAGUGAGCUUAUUUACUUUUCAAUGCUUACAUUGAUAAUGUUUUGUGGAUUUUGUAGGAGGAAAACUUGGAAGAGGUCAUUGCACUUACUGUGAUAUAACUGUUAAAUUGUUUGUCUCACACAUAUCUUUCAGAUGCAAAGGAUAAUACUGACAUUAUGAAUUUUGUUACAGGCCCCGCCCAGGGAGCAAGCGGGGUUCCAUGAGAUAUAGAAAGUGAUGCAGGUCACCUUUGAUUUGGAAGCAUAAUCCAGUCUGCAUCCCAGCUCUUUCUCGUAUUAAGUUUCAUGCACUUCAUUAGAUUAAGUGAUUCUGGUAGAUGGAAAGUGUUGUCAUUUUUUAAAAUUAUUUAGGUCGAAUGCCAGUAAUUUCCAAUGCAAAUUGUUUUUAAUUCAAGUCAUGAUGGUAACGUUUAUUGUAGGAAACACAUUCUAUGCAUUUGAAGAUAUUGUUUUUUCUAAUAACAAAUGUUAAUAUGUUAGUUUUA
Molecule: long non-coding RNA, 576 nt
Organism: Lathyrus oleraceus (garden pea)
Lineage: Eukaryota; Viridiplantae; Streptophyta; Magnoliopsida; Fabales; Fabaceae
Exons: 2
Source: RefSeq, a predicted model, not a curated record